GCCAGGCAUGGUGGUGCAUGCCUCUAGUCCCAGCUACUCCGGAGGCUGAGGUGGGAGGAUCGCUUGAGCCCCAGAAUUCUGGGCUGUAGUUCGCUAUGCUGAUCGGGUGUCCGCAUUAAGUUCGGCAUCGAUAUGGUGACCUUCCAGGAGCGGGGGACCACCAGGUUACCUAAGGAGGGUGAAUUAGCCGAGGUCGGAAACGGAGCAGGUCAAAACUCCGGUGCUGAUCAGUAGUGGGAUCGCGCCUGUGAACAGCCACUGCACUCCAGUCUGGGCAACAUAGCGAGACCCCAUCUCU
RNAcentral lists this signal recognition particle RNA (298 nucleotides) under Aotus nancymaae (Ma's night monkey). RNAcentral's name for it is "Metazoan signal recognition particle RNA (ENSANAG00000010416.1)". It matches the Rfam family "Metazoan signal recognition particle RNA". Rfam says of the family: The signal recognition particle (SRP) is a universally conserved ribonucleoprotein. It is involved in the co-translational targeting of proteins to membranes. Lineage: Eukaryota; Metazoa; Chordata; Mammalia; Primates; Aotidae. The record is from RNAcentral.